GCUAUACAUGCAGUCGAGCGGACAGAUGGGAGCUUGCUCCCUGAUGUUAGCGGCGGACGGGUGAGUAACACGUGGGUAACCUGCCUGUAAGACUGGGAUAACUCCGGGAAACCGGGGCUAAUACCGGAUGCUUGAUUGAACCGCAUGGUUCAAUUAUAAAAGGUGGCUUUUAGCUACCACUUACAGAUGGACCCGCGGCGCAUUAGCUAGUUGGUGAGGUAACGGCUCACCAAGGCGACGAUGCGUAGCCGACCUGAGAGGGUGAUCGGCCACACUGGGACUGAGACACGGCCCAGACUCCUACGGGAGGCAGCAGUAGGGAAUCUUCCGCAAUGGACGAAAGUCUGACGGAGCAACGCCGCGUGAGUGAUGAAGGUUUUCGGAUCGUAAAACUCUGUUGUUAGGGAAGAACAAGUACCGUUCGAAUAGGGCGGUACCUUGACGGUACCUAACCAGAAAGCCACGGCUAACUACGUGCCAGCAGCCGCGGUAAUACGUAGGUGGCAAGCGUUGUCCGGAAUUAUUGGGCGUAAAGCGCGCGCAGGCGGUUUCUUAAGUCUGAUGUGAAAGCCCCCGGCUCAACCGGGGAGGGUCAUUGGAAACUGGGGAACUUGAGUGCAGAAGAGGAGAGUGGAAUUCCACGUGUAGCGGUGAAAUGCGUAGAGAUGUGGAGGAACACCAGUGGCGAAGGCGACUCUCUGGUCUGUAACUGACGCUGAGGCGCGAAAGCGUGGGGAGCGAACAGGAUUAGAUACCCUGGUAGUCCACGCCGUAAACGAUGAGUGCUAAGUGUUAGAGGGUUUCCGCCCUUUAGUGCUGCAGCAAACGCAUUAAGCACUCCGCCUGGGGAGUACGGUCGCAAGACUGAAACUCAAAGGAAUUGACGGGGGCCCGCACAAGCGGUGGAGCAUGUGGUUUAAUUCGAAGCAACGCGAAGAACCUUACCAGGUCUUGACAUCCUCUGACAACCCUAGAGAUAGGGCUUCCCCUUCGGGGGCAGAGUGACAGGUGGUGCAUGGUUGUCGUCAGCUCGUGUCGUGAGAUGUUGGG
Molecule: ribosomal RNA, 1050 nt
Filed under: Bacillus sp. (in: firmicutes)
Lineage: Bacteria; Bacillati; Bacillota; Bacilli; Caryophanales; Bacillaceae
Description: bacterial SSU rRNA
Rfam family: Bacterial small subunit ribosomal RNA
Source: RNAcentral